GACGAACGUUGGCGGCGUGCUUAACACAUGCAAGUCGAACGGUAAGGCCCUUCGGGGUACACGAGUGGCGAACGGGUGAGUAACACGUGGGUGAUCUGCCCUGCACUUCGGGAUAAGCCUGGGAAACUGGGUCUAAUACCGGAUAGGACUCCGGACUGCAUGGUCUGGGGUGGAAAGCUUUUGCGGUGUGGGAUGGGCCCGCGGCCUGUCAGCUUGUUGGUGGGGUGAUGGCCUACCAAGGCGACGACGGGUAGCCGGCCUGAGAGGGUGACCGGCCACACUGGGACUGAGAUACGGCCCAGACUCCUACGGGAGGCAGCAGUGGGGAAUAUUGCACAAUGGGCGCAAGCCUGAUGCAGCGACGCCGCGUGAGGGAUGACGGCCUUCGGGUUGUAAACCUCUUUCAGCAUCGACGAAGCGAAAGUGACGGUAGGUGCAGAAGAAGGACCGGCCAACUACGUGCCAGCAGCCGCGGUAA
This 478-nucleotide ribosomal RNA is filed under the name uncultured bacterium. Its description in RNAcentral is "partial 16S ribosomal RNA". It matches the Rfam family "Bacterial small subunit ribosomal RNA", at positions 28 to 523 of the family's 1533-position model. The record is from RNAcentral.